Molecule: ribosomal RNA, 546 nt
Filed under: Dorysthenes fossatus
Lineage: Eukaryota; Metazoa; Arthropoda; Insecta; Coleoptera; Cerambycidae
Description: partial 12S ribosomal RNA
Source: RNAcentral
CCAGCAAUUGCGGUUAUACAAACAGUAUAAUUUAAUUUUUUUGGUUAUUAGUUGAAUUAAUAUUUUGUAUUUUAAUUUUAAGUUUAUAAGGUGGAAUUUGUAAAUUUAAUAGUAAAAUAAAUUUUAUAUUUUGAGGCUAAGAAAUUCGUUGAUAAACUAGGAUUAGAUACCCUAUUAUUUUGAAUGUAAAUUUUUAUGCUGGGCUAGUAUAAGUUAUGUUCUUUAAAAUUAAAGAUUUUGGCGGUAUUUUAGUCCAUUCAGAGGAACCUGUCCUAUAAUUGAUGAUCCACGAGUUAAAGUACUUCUUUAAUGUUUGUAUAUCGUCGUAGUUUGAAUAUUUUUUAAGAAUAGUAAUGUUCAUGAUUUUUUUAGAAAAGAUAUCAGAUCAAGGUGCAGCUUGUAGAGAAGGAGAGAUGGGUUACAAUAAAUUUAUUUAGGAGAAUUAAAUAUUUUGUGAAGUGUUAUGAAUUUGGAUUUGAGGGUAAUUUUAAUUAAAUAAUUAAAGUGAUUUAGGCUCUAAAAUAUGCACAUAUUGCCCGUCGCUUU